GCAGCCUUCUCUGUGGAUUUUAAUGAGUCUGAUUUUUCCUGCCUAGAACUCGCUUGGUAUGUACUGGUGUACGCCGGUCAUUUCCCCCGUUAGAUGGGAAGCUUCUCGCGGGCAGAGGUUGUCUUUUGCCCUUCUUAGCACAGCGGCUGGUACACAUAAGUACUUAAUAAAUGUUGACUGAUUUUUCUCACCCCCUCCCCAGGCUCAUUUAAUAAUUAGAAACAACAGUUCGAUGUAGAACCCAGGUGUCCCAUCCCCCCGCCCCCCAGCCGUGCAGACGCAGACCCCAAGGAUAGCGGGAGGCUGGGCGGAUGCCCACAAUCACUCGGGAGUCCAGGGGAAGAGAGGACAGAGACCCAAAGUCCCUCAAAGAAACCCCUUCUGGGCAUGCGCACACGCGUCCCAGCCGGAACACUACACUUCCCAGAAGUUUGCCGUGGAGACCGGGACAGUCUGUUCCCCCUCCCUUUUGGGCAUGCGCACAUACGUCCCGGCCGGACCACUAUACUUCCCAGAAGCCCUUCCCCGGCCAAGCCGGGGUUGCCAUGGAGUCCAGGACAGUGCGGUCCGCCUCCCUUUUGGGCAUGCGCACACACGUCCCGGCAGGAACACUACACUUCCCAGAAGCCCUUGCCUGGCCAAGCCGGGGUUGCCAUGGAGACCAGGACAGGCCAGCCCAGAAGAGGCGGGGAUCAUAGCAGGGGGAAUCUUCCCGGGAUUGGGGCCGGUCUGAAGAGAAGCGCGGCCACGUGGACGUCACUUCCGCCAUCGCUUCGCCGUCAUCCUAGGAGGGCUCGCGGCCGCCUGGGCUCGUCUCCGCCCUCCGACUUCACGUGGGCCCGAGUCGGGGCUCUGCCUUCUGAUGACUGCAUCCCUUCCUAGGAGAAGGUAGCUUUGCAGAGGCCCCAAUGGCCCCAAUGUUCCCAACAGCUGGGGCCCAGCAGGUGAGUGGAUGUUUGCACUUUCCUGAAAUACCACCUCCAUGUUUCGUGUGUUUUCUUAGUGUCUUUAAUAUCAUUUUAAUUGUCUGUAUGAUAAAGUCGUCUAUCUGUCCAUCAUUUAGG
RNAcentral lists this long non-coding RNA (1064 nucleotides) under Phascolarctos cinereus (koala). RNAcentral's name for it is "lncRNA (ENSPCIG00000030898.1)". The record is from RNAcentral. Lineage: Eukaryota; Metazoa; Chordata; Mammalia; Diprotodontia; Phascolarctidae.